UGCCAGCAGCCGCGGUAACACGUAGGAGGCAAGCGUUAUCCGGAUUUACUGGGCGUAAAGCGCGUGCAGGUGGUUUAGUAAGUUGGAUGUGAAAUCUCCCGGCUCAACUGGGAGAGGUCGUUCAAAACUGCUAGGCUAGAGGACGGUAGAGGAAAGUGGAAUUCCCGGUGUAGUGGUGAAAUGCGUAGAUAUCGGGAGGAACACCAGUGGCGAAAGCGACUUUCUGGCCCGUUCCUGACACUAAGACGCGAAAGCUAGGGUAGCAAACGGGAUUAGAUA
RNAcentral lists this ribosomal RNA (279 nucleotides) under uncultured bacterium. RNAcentral describes it as "partial 16S ribosomal RNA". It matches the Rfam family "Bacterial small subunit ribosomal RNA", at positions 506 to 784 of the family's 1533-position model. The record is from RNAcentral.